RNAcentral lists this ribosomal RNA (509 nucleotides) under uncultured bacterium. RNAcentral describes it as "bacterial SSU rRNA". It matches the Rfam family "Bacterial small subunit ribosomal RNA", at positions 19 to 518 of the family's 1533-position model. The record is from RNAcentral.
UGGCGUCAGGAUGAACGCUGGCGGCAGGCUUAAUACAUGCAAGUCGAACGGUAAGGUCCGAAGUGGCAACACGGAGGAUACACGAGUGGCGCACGGGUGCGUAACGCGUAUGCAACCUGCCCCCGACCGGGACAAAACAGCUGGAAACGGCUGCUAAUAUCCCAUGGUCAUGCGGAAGGGCAUCCUUCUUCAUGUAAAGAUUCAUUGGUCGGGGAUGGGCAUGCGUAUUAUUAGGUAGUUGGCGGGGUAACGGCCACCAAGCCGACGAUGAUUAGGGGUCCUGAGAGGGUUAACCCCCACACUGGAACUGAGACACGGUCCAGACUCCUACGGGAGGCAGCAGUAGGGAAUAUUGGGCAAUGGGAGCAAUCCUGACCCAGCCAUGCCGCGUGAAGGAAGACGGCCCUAUGGGUUGUAAACUUCUUUUGCCGCAGAGUAAACCCGGUCACGAGUGGUCGGUUGAGAGUAUGCGGCGAAUAAGUAUCGGCUAACUCCGUGCCAGCCGCUGC